Molecule: long non-coding RNA, 2658 nt
Filed under: Limulus polyphemus (Atlantic horseshoe crab)
Lineage: Eukaryota; Metazoa; Arthropoda; Merostomata; Xiphosura; Limulidae
Description: uncharacterized LOC111087228
Source: RNAcentral
AGUAGGUAGCUCCAGUUUUUUUAAAUUACUGUAUGUUUUAACUGGUAAUUGAGCUGGUAUAUGUCUAUUUCAAAGAAAAAGUGGUUUUCUAGUUUUGUACAUGAAAGUUCAUAACUGGUGAAGAAAAAUAGUUAAGUAAACUAUGAAUAGAACGAAACCUGUAUAUAUAAGUGCAAAUGUCUCUCUCUCUCUCUGUUGGUCUGUUCCUUUUGCAUGGCCACAUCUUUAAAGCUCCAGACUCAGGAUGUACAACUUUUUUGAGGCUGCAGAUUGAGGCCAAAGUGACCAAUAUAGCAAUUUAUGGCAAACAGAAUGAACAGCUGGUCUCAAAUUGAAAAGGUAAUGUGUGAUCAAGAGGGCUAUUAUUUACAUUUCUUCUCUGUGUGAGAACUUCUUCUAAUCAUUUUAUCCAUGAUCAAUUAUGUGUUAAAAUGAUUUAACAACUUCAAGGAGCCUUCAUUUGUACUCUUUCCCUCCCUCUCUUUAUUCUACACACAUAUAUACCUACUCUCUGUCUUCCCUUAACUGAAAAAAGGCUAGUGCUUUCUCUCGAACAUGCAAGAAUCAGCUAUAUGAUGAAUUUACAAAAAUGUUUGGUAUCAGCAAAUUUUCAUUUAUGUUCUGUUGCAACGAGAAGAUAAUAAACCAAUUCUUCAUUAAAUGGAAUAAUGAAAAUAAAGUCAGAAUACACUGCAAAUGAUACUUGACCACACAGCAGAAAUCAGGACACCAAAAGGUAGGGAAUUUUGUUUUGGAAACUUGAAAUAUCAUGCAAAGCACAUGGAAGAUGUAGGAGCAAUGCACCCAGUUUUGCUUUCAUUAGAAUAGCUUUAGCAGUAUUUUUUUGUUUUAUUUUUUACACAUUGUUAUUUUUUAUUGAUUUUAUUCAAAAUAUUUAGUUAAGUAAAGAUAUAUUUUUGAUUUUUUUGCAAAAAAUCAUGAUUAAUAUGCUUGAUUUAAUAAAAACAACUCAGGACAUUUAAAGCCAUUUUCAUCUGCACUUCACUCAGUGAACUCAAGGUUCUGUCUUCUUGUGGAGUUGCCACUCUAUAUGCUGCUUCCACUGCUUUUUCUUUAUUGUUGUCACCAAAAAGAUACCGCAGUUGCCGCCUCCUCCUUGGAGGUCGAACCUGUACUGUCGGAGCUGCAAUAAAGAGUGUCCUGACAGCAUUACCACCUUGCAAGAACUCCUAUGUUGCCAUCUAGUUGCAGAUGUUUAGAUUUGCCUCCAAAAUUCCCUCGACAAUUACAUGCUAGCUGAAAUGGCUACAGUUGGAGUUAUGAUGAAAGACAAUCUGUUGCUUAAAUCAUAUUAAGCUACACAUUUGUAACAUUAUUUUAACCUAUUGAUGAUAUUUUGUACUUUUAGCAGAGGAUGUCAGUAGAGCAAUGACAUUGGAUAUUGGCAUCAGAAGCCGAGAAUCGUAACUGGAACUGCCGAUGGCAAAAUGUAUUCAGGCCUAUUUACAACAUAUCUCAUUCAACUAAAUUCUGAAAUUGGUACGAUCUACUUUUGCAGUUAUGAUUCUGUACCACAAAAGUGUAGGUAGUUUGAAUUUUUCUUCAUCCUUAACACUAAUGCUAGUAGCAAUAGCAAAAUUCCCAUUAACAUCAAGGUUGUGAAAGCCAUAAAAAUACUCUUUUAAAGUUAUUAUGUUCCUAGUCUUUUCUAUUUUGUGUGUUUGAAUGACUUUGCAUGGUCUCUUAAGGGCAAACCAACCAGGUCUGCCACAUUCACUUUCUCAAAAAGGUCUCCUGCUUUACAAUUUGAACUAGUAAACCAAACCAUCAAUUUUGUUUUAAAGCCAUGUGAUAAACCAUUUUUUUUUGGCUUCCUUAUGUAUUUAACGUUACUUUUUCUUUCUCAAAGUUCUGAACUUUUAUUUGAUAACUAAACAGAUACCGAAAUGCACUCUGCUAACUGUAUGUACAUAGGUACCUAUUUUGUAGCCUUAAGUGUUUUCUAAUGCAUUACAAUACAUAGGGGAAUACCACAUGCUAUAUACAUGUACAUUGCUAAGGAAAACCACUUGCCCCAUUUAUAUUAUAGUGAUGUACUCGUUAUGCUAUACUAUAAUAUAUAUAUACACACAGCAAUGUGAUGCAAGGCAAAUUUUACUGGCAACUGUGUAAUAUGACAAUAAUUUGUUAAGUUCAGAAGCUAAGCUAGUUGUUAGGGCAGACACAGAAGCCAUUCCUGACCCCACCCCAUUUUUUUCCAUCAGAUUUGUAUUGAGCUUUGAUGAACUUUGUUGGGAAAAAACAACAGAAAAAAGUGAAUUUACUGGAAAUUCUCAUCCCUGCAAUAGUAAAUGCAAAAUAGGCCUAACAAUGGAAAACAUCACUUAGCAAAUGCCUACUUUGCACUUCCUAAGAGAUGUUUUCCAUUACUAAUCUGUCUGUAAGUUUAUCAAACAUUAAACAUAGUGGUGUACAUUUGUUUCUUUGACACAGAUCUCAAAGUCAAUACUGGAUGUAUAUCUUUAUCAAUUGAUACAAUAUACUUGUAAAAAUGAACUCUGCUUAGUAAAUCUAAUUCCUGAUUCUGUUGGAAGUGGAAACAUUUUAAACUGGGUGGGGAAUGGAAUAGUCAUACUAUAUUUGGAUUUUGCACUCAGAAAUUUGUUGUUGAACUCUUGACAUCAUAAUCUACAUGAU